AAUAUAUGUGAUUACACAAUAUAUAUGUAUAUGAAAACAUAGGUGAUAACUUCAUUAUCAACAUUGUGUAUUAUAUUUUUAAAAGGGAGUUUUCUCUUUUUAUAGGUCAAGCUUAAAAGCAUUUAUCCUAACUUGUAUUUAUUGGACUACUGGGAAGGUAUAACUCUUCCCAUGUUUUGUGAUCCAGAUAUAUUUUCUCUUUCAUCAAUUAUCUAUUCAUGUCCUUUGCUCAUUUAUCUUUUAGAAUUUUGAUUGUUUAAAUAUGAGAUUUUAUGUACUUUGUAAUAGAACAAAGAUAAAAGUCAUUUGACUUUUUUAUGUGUUACAGUUUUUUUUCCCUGUUUUUUUGCCAUUUACUUACCCCAUUUUUAAUUAUGUCUUCUCUAUCAAGGAGAAAAACAUUUAAACUGAAAAGAGUGAAACUAAUAUGAGUAAAAUGGAAGUGAAGCUCAAGAAGGAGAGAAGCACUUUGCUUCGUCAAAUGAGUGGAACUAUUCAUUCUUUGAUGAAGUACUUUUUGAGCCCCCCGGUACAUAGUUGUGUAUUCUUCGUUGUGGAUUCUUCUAGUUGUGGCAUGUGGGACGCUGCCUCAGCGUGGUCUGACGAGCAGUGCCAUGUCCGCGCCCAGGAUUCGAACCAACGAAACACUGGGCCGCCUGCAGCGGAGCGCGCGAACUUAACCACUCGGCCACGGGGCCAGCCCCGAUGAAGGAAUCUUUUAAAAAAAUGUUUCAGUCGAUGGAAAUCAUGGGAGUAGGUAUAGACGUAAAGGAUAAUGCGCUUAGUUUAAAACAAUAAAUUGAGCAAAUAUGAGAUGGGGAGUCUUUACGCAAGUAAAAGAAUUGAGUGUUUCCAUUGUCUAAAAGAUCCAAACAAGGAAAGAGUAUGGCAUAGCUUUAGUUGUAUCAGCCAGGAUUUCUAGAGAAAAUGGAACCAAUAGGAUACAUUCACACACACACACACACACACACACACACACACACACACCCCAUUGAUGAGGGGGCACUGGCAAGUCUGAAAUCAGGCAGGCUGGAAAUUCUAGCUGAAGUCAGCUUUGCAGUCUUGAGUCCAAAGGUAGGCUGUAGUCAGAAUUCCUUUCUCUUAUGAGGAUCUCAGUCUUUUCUUUUAAGACCUUCAACUGAUUGGAUGAGGUUCACUCAUCCUAUAGAGCGUAAUCUGCUUUACUCAAAGUCUACCCUUCACAGCAACAUCUAGAUUGGUGUUUCACCAAACAACUGGGUACCACAGCCUAGUCAAAUUGACACACGAUAUCAACAAUCACAAUGUUAUUCAUGGAAUAUUGAGCUGCGCAGAUAGAAUUAUCAUAUCCAGAUCAAUAAUGGUCAACAUUUACUGUUCUCUGAACUGCUCAGAGCACAUCUCGCAUUUUGGGUUCAGUUUUGGGUGACUGUUUAUGAAGCUCAGUUCCACUGGAGCACAUCAAGCAGUGAGUUGAUUGGGAUGGUGAAAAGCUAGGAAGAGAUGCCAUUUAAAGAAUAGUUGGAGCAACUGCGAUGUUCUCUAAAAAGGAUAGGACCCAGAAAAGCUCUCUUAGUCAGAACUCUUUUGCUUGACAAUGACUCAUAUUGACUUACAUAAAAAGUAAGAUGGAUUGACUUAUGUAACUGAAAAGGCCAGGAGUAGACCUGGCAUAAGGUUAAAUGUUAUCUAGAUUUCAAACCACAUCAUCUGGUCUCUUUCCUCUAUCUUUUGGCUCUGAUUUAUUUGGCUUCAUUCUCAGGCAAAAGCAUCUCCAUGAGGUGGUGCCUGGAACUUUGAGCUUGCAUCGUUCUAAAGCUAUCAACCCAGAGCAGGAAGAGAGCCUCUCUUCCUCAAAAGUUCUAUAAAAAUAACUGGAAUCAUAUGUCAUUGAUUUAGCUUUUGUCAAAUGCCCAGUUAUAAACUAAGGAUUGGGGCAGGAAAUUUGUAAGCAUUUAUUGGGAGGCCUGGGUCACCCACCCGCUCCAGCAGCAUGUGUAAGUCAAAUCCCUGCAAAUGACCACGUGGAUUAAAAGCAAGGAAGGUGUGGUACUAAACAAAAAUCAGAUACUGGUACCAGAAGAAGGGGACUGAAUGGGAACUAGGAAAAAAUGACGUUCUUUACUAUAAAGGACUUCAUGACUAUUUUUCAAACAUUUGUAGGGCUGAAUGUGUGAGAAGGAUUAAGAUUUUUCUAGGCACUCCCAAAAGGGAAAAACUGGUGUCAGUGGGCAGAAGUUAAGAGGAAACAGAUUUUGUCUCUACAUAAGGAAUAAUAUUCUCAUAGAGUACCAGUAUGGUGUGUGUUAUAAGGUAACCUGUGCCCUGACCCUAGAAGAAUUUACACAGAAACUUGAUGGAUCUUAUAGAGAUGAUUCCUGUUUUGUGUUAAAGAAUUGCCUAGAUACAUUAGAAAAUCCCUUCUGUUUCUAGGAUUUCACUGUUCUCUACAUACGUAUGUGCCAGUGCAUGCACACAACCUUGCAGUUGUUAGAUCCCCCAAAAGGGAAAUUUUAAUGUAAUCACCUGUUGAGGGCAUUGUUUAAUGUCAAUUGUUUUUGAGUUGUUACUUCUAUGCCUGAUGAAUCGAUUCCACAUUUCCAUUUCUUGUUAAUAUAGCAUCACCCAAGACGUAAGUAGCUACACAUGUUGGCAUGGAAGAUAUGAUGCUACUUAGGGGCAAGGGAGUGGAAAGACACAUGGGCGGGGUUCACUUGAUCCUUGUGUACAGGUCACUUCCACAAACAGAUAGGAUGUUCAAUUUUCACUUUAUAUUUCGGUUCUAGUAACAAACACUGAAAGAACGUAGACUAUAAGGAAGAAAUAACACUAAAGGGAAGCCCUCAAAGAUAAUUCCAUCAUCCAUAACACCAGGCGCUUCCUGGCAUUAUGACUAAUAAAACUCAGCUAAAAACAUGCUCUAAAUAUUUUUAUGUGCAAAAAAUAGAAAAUUGUAAUAAAAUAAUGGCUGUUAUUUCAAACCAUGACUAUAAAAUGCCCCUGGGACAGAAGUGCCUAAUUAUGAAAUAAAACAACUUUUGUAUCCCGUGGGCAAUGUUUUCAAACUAUUGCUCUCUCCAAAGUAGUCACUAUAAUUAGUCCAAUUCCCCAGAAGAAAUGAAAAGCGUAGGGGAAUUCAUUUAGGGCUGUAGCUCAGGGCUGUGUCUUGGAUUAGGACCAAAAGGACUAUUAAAAUGUUAGUGUGAAAUAAGUGUUUCAGCAUCAUGAGUCAGAGGAAUACUUCUAUCAGGAAUUACUUAAUGUUACCUUUGAGUUAUGAUAUUCAUAUAUUUGCUUUUCAGCAGGUAACUUGAAAGUUAUGAGUACUAGGAGGAGUCGGAUGACCUUUGAUGGAAGUUUAUUUCCAAUGAUGUUUAGCUAUGCCGUCUCUCUACGCCUCAGCAUUCCCAGUUCUCAAACGGGGUUAAAAAUGACACUGCAUCUUUAGAAAUAGGAAAGCUUUAAAAAAAAAAACUAAUGGGAAAGUUGUUGAGGAAAAACUUCAAGAUUUCCCUUAUGUUUCCCCUUGAAAUAUUUUGAAGUGUUAUAGUACUCGAUGGGGAAAAUAAUCUAGAACUAUAAAAGUCAUUGCUAGUACUAUUAGUGUUCUGUAUUUUGCUACCUAGAAUUUAUUCCUACUAAAUUAUUUCUGAAGAUAUUUAUUUAGAGUUACUUUGUGGAUGAUUUGUUAGGGAAUAUUGUAUCAUUCUAUUUAUUUCAAAGGCAAGCAGUGCAGUAAAAAAUUUUAAAACUUAGUUGGAUACUUUCUGGCUUCUGGAGAUUGCUGCUAUUUCCUCAAGCUAGGACACGGUGCCUUCUAUGUAGAUUUCCUUUUGUUGACUCUAGAUUCAUAUCUACAGCUUCAUCCUCCCUUUUUUUUUUCAUUUUUUGGAGGUAACAUUGGUUUAUAACAUUAUAUACAUUUCAGGUGUACAUCAUUAUAUUUUGGUUUCUGUGUAGACUAUAUCUUGUUCAACACCCAAAGACUAAUUAUCAUCCCAGACCAUACACUUGUGCCCAGUCACCCCUUUCGCCUUCUGCCCUCCUCUUUUCCCCUCUGGUAACCACCAAACUAAUCUCUGUAACUACAUGUCUGUUUGUUGUUGUUGUUGUUGUUUUAUCUUCUAUUUAUGCAUGAGAUCAUGUGGUAUUUGACUUCUCCGUCUGACUUGUUUCACUUAGCAUAAUACCCUCAAGGUCCAUCCAUGUUGUUGUAAAUGGGAAGAUUUCAUCUUUUUUAUGGCUGAGUAGUAUUCCAUUGUGUAUAUACACC
RNAcentral lists this long non-coding RNA (4252 nucleotides) under Equus caballus (horse). RNAcentral's name for it is "lncRNA (ENSECAG00000053589.1)". Lineage: Eukaryota; Metazoa; Chordata; Mammalia; Perissodactyla; Equidae. The record is from RNAcentral.